UUAAUUAACUGGAAAGGGGGGAAAAAUGGAAACCAGAAAAAAAUUAAUCAAGAAUCCAAAGAAGACAAAACGAUGAGUGAACGCUCCUUAAAAGCCAUUCUGAGCUUUAAUGGGGAGGCCAGGAGUACAGAUAACAUAAUAAACCUUGGGUUUUCGAGACUGGGUUCCAAAGGAGCUUCAAAGGGUUGGCUGUGUGGAGCUCUUAAACACAGUCCAGAGGCGCGUCCGGCCCAAGCUGCAUGUGUUCGGCGGAAUUCACGAAGGGUAUGGCACCAUGACUGACGGUUACACCACCUACAUCAAUGCCUCAACCUGUACAGUCAGCUUCCAACCGACCAACCCACCAAUCAUAUUUGACCUUCCAAACCCACAGGGCUCCUAAAGCGCUCGGCAUCCCAUUGGAAUGUGAGGGACAGUCUACAAACUGCCAUUUUUCUAAUUAUAAACUCACGUCCUCUGACUUGUUUAUUUCCAAAUCCUGUGAGUUCUUUUUGUAAAUUGUCGGAACAGGAGGGAAAAAAAUGUGAUGCUAGCAUUGUGCGGCCUCUUUUUGCUUUUUAAGUGGGGUAUCCAUUUGAAAUCAAAGGAGCAUUGUGAAUUUGUAAAAUGACUUCUGUUUGCUCAAAGGCCACGCCAUUGUAAAUUGUUAGUGUUUGCCAAAGGACAGCCAAGCUUUCUUUUAAAAAAAAAAUGAUGAUUUUAAAAAGUCUUAUUUGAAUAUGCUUUAAGCUGAAAGGAAAAGAUUUUAAAAAAAAAAAGACAGAAAGAAAGAAA
This 774-nucleotide long non-coding RNA is filed under the name Rattus norvegicus (Norway rat). RNAcentral describes it as "long non-coding RNA NONRATT018433". The record is from RNAcentral. Lineage: Eukaryota; Metazoa; Chordata; Mammalia; Rodentia; Muridae.